UACGUAGGGGGCAAGCGUUAUCCGGAUUUACUGGGUGUAAAGGGAGCGUAGACGGCCUUGCAAGUCUGGUGUGAAAGCCCGGGGCUCAACCCCGGGACUGCAUUGGAAACUGCAUGGCUGGAGUGCAGGAGAGGUAAGCGGAAUUCCUAGUGUAGCGGUGAAAUGCGUAGAUAUUAGGAGGAACACCAGUGGCGAAGGCGGCUUACUGGACUGUAACUGACGUUGAGGCUCGAAAGCGUGGGGAGCAAGCAGG
Molecule: ribosomal RNA, 253 nt
Filed under: uncultured bacterium
Lineage: Bacteria
Description: partial 16S ribosomal RNA
Rfam family: Bacterial small subunit ribosomal RNA
Source: RNAcentral